UACGUAGGGUGCGAGCGUUGUCCGGAAUUAUUGGGCGUAAAGAGCUUGUAGGCGGUUUGUCGCGUCUGCCGUGAAAUUUCGAGGCUCAACCUCGAACUUGCGGUGGGUACGGGCAGACUAGAGUGUGGUAGGGGAGACUGGAAUUCCUGGUGUAGCGGUGAAAUGCGCAGAUAUCAGGAGGAACACCGAUGGCGAAGGCAGGUCUCUGGGCCGCUACUGACGCUGAGAAGCGAAAGCAUGGGGAGCGAACAGG
RNAcentral lists this ribosomal RNA (253 nucleotides) under uncultured bacterium. Its description in RNAcentral is "partial 16S ribosomal RNA". It matches the Rfam family "Bacterial small subunit ribosomal RNA", at positions 524 to 776 of the family's 1533-position model. The record is from RNAcentral.